GGCAACUAGAAACACGUUGGCCAAGUUGUUACUCUUUUGACCAAUAUAUGUUUCCCAAAUAUUGUGUGUGUGUGUUUUUUUUUUUUUUUUGGCUAAAAUGUUGUCUUGUUCUUGUGUUCAUAUGAAUCUUUUACUGAUACCUUUACUAUAUGCAUUGGCACACGUGUUUCCAAAAUGCAGACUUUAUCAUAAACAUUACUAGUAAUUAAUCUAGGCUCCAUUAAUAAUCUAUACUAUAUGUAAGUGAACCAAAAGAAACAAACUACUUUUAGGUGGAGAAAUUUGCAAACAUCGAGUUUGGUUAAAAGU
Molecule: long non-coding RNA, 309 nt
Filed under: Brassica napus (rape)
Lineage: Eukaryota; Viridiplantae; Streptophyta; Magnoliopsida; Brassicales; Brassicaceae
Description: long non-coding RNA (BNAP_LNC014521)
Source: RNAcentral